Molecule: ribosomal RNA, 256 nt
Filed under: uncultured bacterium
Lineage: Bacteria
Description: partial 16S ribosomal RNA
Rfam family: Bacterial small subunit ribosomal RNA
Source: RNAcentral
GACGGAGGGGGCAAGCGUUGUCCGGAAUCACUGGGCGUAAAGCGCGCGUAGGUGGCACAGUGCGUCGGUGCUGAAAGCGCCGGGCUUAACCCGGCGAGGUGCGUCGAUACGACUGGGCUCGAGGCCAGCAGAGGGUGGCGGAAUUCCGGGUGUAGUGGUGAAAUGCGUAGAUAUCUGGAGGAACACCGGUGGCGAAGGCGGCAUCCUGGACCGGCAGUUGACGCGUGAGGCGCGAAAGCCAGGGGAGCAAAGCGGG